This 451-nucleotide ribosomal RNA is filed under the name uncultured bacterium. RNAcentral describes it as "partial 16S ribosomal RNA". It matches the Rfam family "Bacterial small subunit ribosomal RNA", at positions 354 to 796 of the family's 1533-position model. The record is from RNAcentral.
GUGGGGAAUUUUGCGCAAUGGGGGAAACCCUGACGCAGCAACGCCGCGUGAGUGAUGAAGGCCUUCGGGUCGUAAAGCUCUGUCAGAGGGAAAGAAGUGCAGUGGUGCCAAUACCAUCAUUGCUUGACGGUACCCUCAAAGGAAGCACCGGCUAACUCCGUGCCAGCAGCCGCGGUAAUACGGAGGGUGCGAGCGUUGUUCGGAAUUAUUGGGCGUAAAGCGCGUGUAGGCGGUCUUUUAAGUCUGAUGUGAAAGCCCCGGGCUCAACCUGGGAAGUGCAUUGGAAACUGGGAGACUUGAAUACGGGAGAGGGUAGUGGAAUUCCUAGUGUAGGAGUGAAAUCCGUAGAUAUUAGGAGGAAUACCGGUGGCGAAGGCGGCUACCUGGACCGAUAUUGACGCUGAGACGCGAAAGCGUGGGGAGCAAACAGGAUUAGAAACCCCAGUAGUCC